UGGAACUGAGACACGGUCCAUACUCNUACGGGAGGCAGCAGUGAGGAAUAUUCCGCAAUGGGCGAAAGCCUGACGGAGCAAUACCGCGUGUGAGACGAAGGCUCUAGGGUCGUAAAUCACUGUCAGAAGGGAAGAAAAAAAUGACGGUACCUUCAAAGGAAGCACCGGCUAACUCUGUGCCAGCAGCCGCGGUAAGACAGAGGGUGCAAGCGUCAUCCGGAUUUAUUGGGCGUAAAACGUCUGUAGGUGGUCUAUUAAGUCUGGGGUUAAAUGGUGAGGCUCAACUUCGCCAUGCCUUGGAUACUGGUAGUCUAAAGUAUGUUAGGGGUUAGUGGAAUUUCCGGUGUAGUGGUGAAAUACGUAGAUAUCGGAAGGAACGCCAGCGGCGAAAGCGACUAACUGGGGCAUUACUGACACUCAGAGACGAAAGCGUGGGUAGCAAAAAGGAUUAGAUACCCUGGUAGUCCACGCCGUAAACGAUGAUGACUCGCUGUUGGCAAUAUAUCGCCAGUGGCCAAGCGAAAGCGUUAAGUCAUCCACCUGGGGAGUACGUCGGCAACGAUGAAACUCAAAGGAAUUGACGGGGGCCCGCACAAGCGGAGGAACAUGUGGUUUAAUUCGAUGAUACGCGAGGAACCUUACCCGGGCUUAAAUGCAUAUUGACAGCUUGAGAAAUCAAGCCUCCUUCGGGCAAUUUGCAAGGUGCUGCAUGGUUGUCGUCAGCUCGUGCCGUGAGGUGUCGGGUUAAGUCCCAUAACGAGCGCAACCCUUGUUGUUAGUUACCAGCGUGUUAGGGCGGGGACUCUAGCAAGACUGCCGGUGCAAACCGGAGGAAGGUGGGGAUGACGUCAAAUCAGCACGGCCCUUACGUCCGGGGCUACACACGUGUUACAAUGGUUGGUACAAAGGGAAGCUACACAGCGAUGUGAUGCAAAACUCAAAAACCAAUCUCAGUUCGGAUUGGAGUCUGCAAUUCGACUCCAUGAAGUUGGAUUCGCUAGUAAUCGCGCAUCAGCAACGGCGCGGUGAAUACUCCCGGGCCUUGUACACACGCCCGUCAACCAUGGAACUGAUGGUACCUGAAAUCUGUUACCCCAAGGAACGGCUAAGGUUAAAAUUAUAACUGGGGC
Molecule: ribosomal RNA, 1130 nt
Filed under: Stilbonema sp. associated bacterium 3
Lineage: Bacteria; Pseudomonadati; Bacteroidota
Description: bacterial SSU rRNA
Rfam family: Bacterial small subunit ribosomal RNA
Source: RNAcentral